This 455-nucleotide ribosomal RNA is filed under the name uncultured bacterium. Its description in RNAcentral is "bacterial SSU rRNA". It matches the Rfam family "Bacterial small subunit ribosomal RNA", at positions 340 to 786 of the family's 1533-position model. The record is from RNAcentral.
UACGGGAGGCAGCAGUGGGGAAUAUUGCACAAUGGGCGCAAGCCUGAUGCAGCCAUGCCGCGUGUAUGAAGAAGGCCUUCGGGUUGUAAAGUACUUUCAGUCGUGAGGAAGGUGUUAAGGUUAAUAACCUUAGCAAUUGACGUUAGCGACAGAAGAAGCACCGGCUAACUCCGUGCCAGCAGCCGCGGUAAUACGGAGGGUGCGAGCGUUAAUCGGAAUUACUGGGCGUAAAGGGCACGCAGGCGGUUAAUUAAGUUGGAUGUGAAAUCCCCGGGCUUAACCUGGGAAUGGCAUUCAAGACUGGUUAGCUAGAGUCUUGUAGAGGGGGUAGAAUUCCGAUGUGUAGCGGUGAAAUGCGUAGAGAUGUGGAGGAAUACCGGUGGCGAAGGCGGCCCCUGGGACAAAGACUGACGCUCAUGUGCGGAAGCGUGGGGAGCAAACAGGGAUUAGAUACC